GGGUUUUCUUUCAUAUGUAACGUUACUUUGUUUUCCUAUGAUGUUUUGCACUGGGCUCUGAAUUUCUGUGGCGAAAAAGUGCUCUCUGGCUCUGACAGGCCCGAGUCUGAGGAUAAUGUUAGUCUGAGUCUUGUAGAUUUUUUAAAAUAUUCAUAGAUUAUCAUCGAUUAUUGUCCUAAUGGAAUUUAUUUUCCCCAAAUGUGACAGGGCUAAGUCGAUACCAAACUUACAAGUUCUUGGACCUGUACAGAAGAUGUGUGGUGACUGCAGUCUGUUAUUAACAUGGGAUGAGUUCUUCAAUGGAUAAUUUAGGGGCCUGUUUUGCACAAGAGGCACUAUUUUACCUGUAUUUCUCGCAUUAUCCAGCUGGUGUCACUUAAGUCCCUUUUUUGUUUCAAUCAAGCAGCUUCCCCAACAUGACCAAGAUUGUGAAACAAUAUCCCUUUUGCUAAUAAUUCUGUAGAUGUGGGAAGAAUUGUUAAUACAAGGGCUGACUCAUCAAUGGAAAUGUGCUGACCUAAGUGAGAUUAUUAUUAUUUUUUUCCUGAUUGUUAUGUAAGGCUGAAACAUUAAAAUAUUUUAAUCAGA
Molecule: long non-coding RNA, 588 nt
Organism: Oncorhynchus gorbuscha (pink salmon)
Lineage: Eukaryota; Metazoa; Chordata; Actinopteri; Salmoniformes; Salmonidae
Exons: 2
Source: RefSeq, a predicted model, not a curated record